This 23-nucleotide microRNA is filed under the name Mus musculus (house mouse). RNAcentral describes it as "mmu-miR-6377". Lineage: Eukaryota; Metazoa; Chordata; Mammalia; Rodentia; Muridae. The record is from miRBase by way of RNAcentral.
UCAUUUGUCUUCGUGUCUGCAUC